RNAcentral lists this unclassified non-coding RNA (3612 nucleotides) under Leishmania donovani. Its description in RNAcentral is "gene:LdHU3.28.1600(CDS-product:Leucine_Rich_repea t_putative)". The record is from RNAcentral. Lineage: Eukaryota; Euglenozoa; Kinetoplastea; Trypanosomatida; Trypanosomatidae.
AAUCUUUUGCGCCGGCCUCCAUCUGCGUCGCCGAGAUGCGCGAAGGCAGCGCAUGCGCACCUCCUCGCAUCCUUAACGUCAACAUAGUCACGCGUGCGCGCGCGCACGCGUAUUCAUUUUCUUCGGGCGGACAAGGCAGGCGCAUAAGCAGCACAAUCGCAACGCCUUCCACUGCCGCGAGGCCUUUGUUCUAUUUCGGCGCAGUCCUCUCUUUCACCUUUGCCGUGUCCGCGUAUCGCACUCCGCGCUGUUCCGGUCUCUCCCCCGCUCCGUCAUUUCGGUCAUCCCUCUUCCAGGAUAUCCGUGCCGCACUUGUUCCUCGCCUGUGGUGUUGCUCGACAACUGCCCCCAUCGCGUUCCAUCUACGCCAUCGGACACACCGCAUGCGCACCCUUUACACAGUGGCGCGCCCUUCCUCUCAUUAUUCCUCGUGCUCUCUCAUCGUUUUUUUUUACCCGUAUUCUUCGCUUGUACUUGCACUUCGCACGAGCUCUCCUGUCUUGCGUCACUUAUGGGCGCCGUGCUGAGAGGCGCCGUCGGACACCUCACAGCGGAUCGUCACUGGGGCGUGGAUGACCUCGCCCCACCUCCUUAUCUGGUGCCGUUUCCUGGUGCCUCUGGCGCGGAUGAGCACUCGGCUCGGCUUUAUGCCUGCGGGUGCCUCCGUGCUCUGAGUGCAGACGGGUGGGCCAAGGGUAAGCCGAUACGGUGGCGCAUUCCGGAAAGCGUGAGCCUUUCUGGCAUGGCUGGCGGUGGAGGAGGCGGUGCCGACGGCAGGAAAACCGAAGGCGACCCUGUGGCUGACGUGCUGGUGCAGCUCGUUUCAGCGCUGUCCUCGCAUCAGCUGGUCGUCUUCUCUGUUGAGGGCCAUAGCGAGGUCACUGCCGCGGAUGUGCAUCAAUGGGCAUCAUGGUUGGGUACGGAUGCGCUAGCGAGGGCGCCUGCGGCGCCGUGGAGCAACAUUCGUGUCGCGAACCUGAGCGACUGUUCUCUGGGGGACGCCGGGGUGCAAGCGUUCCUUACCAUUGUUUUCCCUAGCGCUACUUCACCGUCCAACGAAGGCUCUAGGCAUGCUGUGUCGGCACCACACCGAGCACCUCUUCCUCUUCUGGAGUCCUUGAUACUCGAUGGUGUAGGCCUGACAGACCGUGGUGCAGUGUGGGUGACUUCCUACUUGGAUGAGGUCGCGCGGUGUAGAGUCGAUGCGCGCCCGUUUGGUGACCGUGAUGAUGCGUCCGCCUCUCCCUGCAAGCGCUGCCUUCUGCAUACACUCUCUCUGCAGCGGAACACGCUAGGAGCCGUCGGGGUGCUGAAGCUCUUGCACGCCUCCCUCGCAAAUCCACGCAGUGCAGGCAGCGCAAACAGGCACACCGUAGAGUCUGUCGAUCCCUCCUGGAACUCGUUGGCGUCUGUGCCGCGUGGCUGUGUUGGCGAGGAGGAGAGCAGCUCGGCCGCCCGCCGGAAGCUUCUCAUUGCCCUCGGUGCGGGGAUGGUGCGAUCGACGUGUGAAAUUCAACCCCCUGCAGCGUCAGGAGAAGCAUCACCACCGCGUAGAAGUUCUCUUCUCUUAGAGGGCUGCGGCGCGGACGAGGCCGAUGCACGCGCACUGUAUACUGAAGGCUUGCUCUUUGCUUUCCUCGAGUGCUUUCGUGAGGCGGCGCACAGGGAGGUGGGUGGCCUGCCGCACUCCCCGGCGCGACAGGUUUUGCUGCCGCCCGUGGGCAUGCAGGUGACCAAGAUUGACCUCAGUCACAAUCCCUGCCUCGGUGAUGCCGGCGUCCGGCAGUUGUUGAGCGCUCUUCUAUGUCUGGAAGCGACGCGUGAAGUGUCGCGCAGCAUGUGGCACCCGCUCGGCUCUGCGCAGCACACGUUUGUUGGUGUCGAAGAAAUUGUGUUACGCGAGGUUGGCUGUACGGAUGCAGUGCUGGUGGAUGUGGUGCGACUGCUGAGCUCGAACAUUCAUCGAGCCAUUCCAGGUUUGGUGCAGCAGGGAAGUGCAGCACGCGAGCUUUCCGACCUCGAAGCCGUCUUUGAAGAAGAGGUGCAUCGUACUCUUCUCGACGAGGCGCGCUUCCUGGCAGGCAUUCGUGAAGAAAGGGUUCCGCAGAGCACCGAGAGCGCCGAGAAUGGCCAUCUCACGCGAUGCACAUACCUGCCAUCGCUAAGGCUUCUGGACCUCUCCGAGAACUCGUUCUACUCAGCUGACCUCAUUGGCGCUGUAAUGGCUGGGGCUGCUCUGCGCGUAUCAUACGCACCUUCUCGCGCAUCCGACUCGGCGGUCACGGAGCACCACACGGGACAGAGGCAUGGCGGCCUAGCGCCGCGCCAAAGGGUCCUGAGUGCCACUGCCGGCGAGCACAGCUUCGCCUUGGGCUUGGAGGAGUGUGGGCUCGCGGACGCGGCCUUGCUGCAGCUUCCGCUCUCCCUUCAGAUGCUGCGAGCUGUGAUGCCUAAGUACGAGGAGCCACUCUUUUCCACAGAUUUCUGCCCUCCCCCCGUUGCACCACGGCAUCCCAUCCAGCCUCAGUCGUGCAGAUGCACUUGGUACCUGGGAGGCAACCAUCUCACCCACUCAGCGCUCCUUCGACUUCGGAAGUUUACGGAAACCCUGGCGCGGAGCACCUCCGUGGGCAUCCGGCUGUGCUCGGUCAACGCCUACGUGGAACGGAAUGCAAUACUGCAUCCUGCCACCACGGUGAAGGAGAGCGACGAAGACGACAUGGAGGGCAGUGGGGCAGCCGCCGUGGACGCUUCGGGCGCGUCUUGGCUCGGCAUAUCGGCUGCGGAGGACAACGUCCGAGGCGGCAGCAUCACCGAGCGAGCCGCCUCAGGAAGCGAGGCUGGUUUUGCCGACCGCUGUUUGGCUCUUCACGACUUCACGGCACCGCGGGUGAGUUGGCAUCAGCUUCCCUCGCUGUACAACCUCGCGACUGCGGAGAAGGCCCGCGACCCUUGCCAACUUUCGAUCGCGUCAAAGUCCCUCCAGCGGUGCGGGCCGCAGGCCAAUGCGACGGGGCUCGGCACCUGUCCAGCGCACUCUGUCCGCCUCAGCGCCUCGGGCGCUGCGGCUCCGGCACCCGUUGCGGCUCUCACUGCACCAGAAAUGCGAAGUGGUCAAGCGUGUGCGCACCUCUCGAGAGGUACCAGUGGCAAACACGAGCCUUCUCGCGCUGAUACGGAUGGCGACUCUGAUGAGUGGGUCGGCAUGAUGGGCUUUCACGAUGACCGUUCUGCGUUAUGGGCAUCACUAUCACCGAUGACGGUAAGCACCAAUGACCUCAUCGACGCCUUGAUUGCCGAGGCGGAGCAGGUGAUGCGGGAGCGCAGCCCUUUUGUGGAGGUGGGCCGCCAACUCGCGAGUGCUGACCUGCUUUCGGGCCUGCCCCCUCUAUCACCGCCUGACACGUAUAGUGGUCUUGAGUGACGUGAGCCGCGGACGGUCAGAAUCAGAUGGGAUGGAAGGUCAUAUGCCUGUUCCAGCUCGUGUGCCUGUGUCCAUGUAUGUUCGCGCAACACCAAACACCGCCAUACAGCCCCCAAAACGGGGCGGCCGAAAUUCGGCCUGCACGCGGAUGACUCUGCUAGAAAGAUACGAAACAGAGACGGGACGAG